This is a non-coding RNA of Chlorocebus sabaeus (green monkey), 133 nucleotides long. NCBI's taxonomy places the organism in Eukaryota, Metazoa, Chordata, Mammalia, Primates, Cercopithecidae. The record is from Rfam.
GCCCGCCACCACGCCCGGCUAAUUUUUUGUAUUUUUUNGUGCCUGAUCUUGUCUGAUCUCAGAAGCUAAGCAGCGUUGGGCCUGGUUAGUACUUGGAGGGGAGACUGCCUGGGAAUACUGGGUGCUGUAGGCU